UACGGGGUAGGGCAAGCGUUGUCCGGAUUUACUGGGCGUAAAGGGCGCGUAGGCGGUCGUGACAAGUCACUUGUGAAAUCUCCGGGCUUAACUCGGAACGGUCAAGUGAUACUGUCGGACUAGAGUACAGAAGGGGCAACUGGAAUUCUCGGUGUAGCGGUGAAAAUGCGUAGAUAUCGAGAGGAACACCUGCGGCGAAGGCGGGUUGCUGGGCUGAUACUGACGCUGAGGCGCGAAAGCCAGGGGAGCGAACGGG
Molecule: ribosomal RNA, 256 nt
Filed under: uncultured bacterium
Lineage: Bacteria
Description: partial 16S ribosomal RNA
Rfam family: Bacterial small subunit ribosomal RNA
Source: RNAcentral